AUUGCAUGCUAGCGGUAUGCUUUACACAUGCAAGUCGAACGAUUGGCGGACGGGUGAGUAAUAUAUCGGAACGUGCUCAGUAGCGGGGGAUUACUACUCGAAAGAGUGGCUACUACCGCAUAUUAUUGGAGCGGCCGAUAUCGGAUUAGCUAGUUGGUGGGGUAAAGGCUCACCAAGGCAACGAUCGGUAGCUGGUUUGAGAGGACGACCAGCCGCACUGGGACUGAUACACGGCCCAAACUCCUACGGGAGGCGGCAGUGGGGAAGUUUGGGUAAUGGGGGACACCCUGAUCCAGCCAGACCGUGUGUAUGAGAAGGCCUGCGGGUUGGAAAGUACUUUGGGCAGAGAAGCGGGAUCGGCAGAAUAAGCACCGGCUAACGACGUGCCAGCCGCCGAGUAAUAC
RNAcentral lists this ribosomal RNA (404 nucleotides) under uncultured bacterium. Its description in RNAcentral is "partial 16S ribosomal RNA". It matches the Rfam family "Bacterial small subunit ribosomal RNA", at positions 30 to 526 of the family's 1533-position model. The record is from RNAcentral.